This 390-nucleotide ribosomal RNA is filed under the name Triticum aestivum (bread wheat). Its description in RNAcentral is "partial small subunit ribosomal RNA". The record is from RNAcentral. Lineage: Eukaryota; Viridiplantae; Streptophyta; Magnoliopsida; Poales; Poaceae.
AUGAACCUCACUGUUCAGUUUUGGCGUUGCAUAUUUGGUAAGGGGAUAAGACAUGUUGAAAGAAACCUCUCCAUAUAUGGUGAGCACCCAAGCAAGCUUAAAGAACAAGGCCUUCCAGUCGACAUAACGGACUUUGCUUUGCAUCCACUUACCAUGACAAGUUAUACAAGUAAUGUUCCAAUCAAGGAGGAAUCACCAAGUGUGACAUUUGGAGAGCUUCUAGCAGAUCCUAGUGUUAGGCCAGAAGGAGAGUUCACUCUAAUUGAAUAUGAAUCAAGGAUCCCCCCUCAUAAAUCAUUUGUUCAUUUUGUUACAAGUCGAGCUCAGGAUACACAUGAAGGAAGUAGUAGUACCUUGCCAGGGAGGAAGCGACGGGGUGGGCCAAUCUAA